RNAcentral lists this unclassified non-coding RNA (2482 nucleotides) under Hevea brasiliensis (rubber tree). The record is from RNAcentral. Lineage: Eukaryota; Viridiplantae; Streptophyta; Magnoliopsida; Malpighiales; Euphorbiaceae.
AUUUUCCUUACUUGGUUUUCCCUUUGACAAUGAAAAUAUUUUCCGUUAACUAAUUUUCCUGAAUACCCAAACGCUAGAAAAUUUGAAAAAUAUUUUUCAGGAAAAUAUUUUCUAUUAAACAAAUAUACAUAAUGAUUUUUUAAAGAAGAAAAAGAUAUUAAAUAAAAAAAAAGGAGGUAUCUGAGUCAAGGAACAUGAAUUAAAGAAUAAUGGAAUUAAUUAAGGUAGGGUAGGAGAAAGAGAGGGCUUUGUGACCUUGAGUUCUCCACAGUCACUGAUAUAAACAGUCCUAAGGGGCCUGUUCCAAAUUGCACGCGCAUUUUGGGCUCUUUCAUCUCCAAGAAACUCUGCCAAAUCAUUGAAUUGCCUAAUUCUUUCUGAUGGUUUGUAUGUUGGUAUUGAAGCUAUGGCCGUCACUACAUCCAAUCCUGCAAUCCAAUUCAAAUUACUAUGCAAUUUCUUGCGAAAAUACAUAAAUCAAUUUCUAUAAGCAAUUCUUUAUUGUACCUGAUAUGAUCCUAAGAGCACUUGCCAGUUAUUAUUACCACUGCACUGUAACUACACUACCCCUUAUUCCUUUUAUGUCUUCCCAUACCACUAUUACCUCUUAUUCCUUGUAUGUCUUCCCAUGCCACUAUUAUUAUAAGAAAUUCUUGCUUAAACCUAGUUCAUCGUUAACCAAAGACAAAACAUGUAUUGUGGAACUCGCAUAUAAAAUAAAUGAGACUCACAUGUUUGCAUUGUCAAUCCAUAAUGAUAAGGUCUAAUUAAGUUUUUUGCCUGUUGCCAUUAAUAUUAUUACCAUUACCGAAGUAGUGGCACCUCCAGGCACCAUUAGAUCAAUCUUUUAUGGCAGUUGCAACUCCAAAAUCUAUUAUCACCUACAAUCAACGCCAAUCCCUUCUGAAAGUAAGCUAUGAGAUCAAAAUUGCAAGAUAAAGGAUCCAAAGUCCAUUUAAUUGGCUGGCCUGAUGUUUGUUAAUGGUGAUUAUCCUUAUAAUCACUGCAAUUAACCUUGAAUCAAAAUUUGGUAGAACAAGUUCAUAGUUUCCAAGUUAUAAUAGAAUAAUAAAGAUGAAAUAAGAGGGGGCCAUUCAUAAAGACGCUUAACAAAAAUGACCAUAAAGAAAACAGAGCAGUCAAACGCAAGAUCAGCAUAUGCUGUCAUUGAAGAUGCAUACACUCACAAUUAUCACCAGAAAAAUAACUUUUUUAUGGUAGCUAUGAUCAAAUGGUGUCUUAUAAUUAACUUUACACACACUUCUAAUUUAUAUUCUAGCGCUUGUUCAAAGCACAAUCUAUUCAAGCUUCCAUUGUGCAUUCAGAAAUUAUCUUUUAGGGACAGGCCAUGAAGAUCAAAUGCAAGAUAAUAUACCGAAGAGUGAAUCUUGCUACAAAUCGAACUAACCCUUUGCAUGAAAAAUAAUUUGGGUGCACAGGGAGAUGAUUGAUAUUUAAUUUCAACUUUGAUCAAGCAAUUGAUUUGAUUCAUUAUAGAAAUCAUGCCUAAAGCUAGCCAGCCCACAAUUUCCGUCAAGCAUAUGAAGCAUCAGCACAUAUGAAACUAGCAAUAUAUAAAUCAAUUUGAAUUCAAGAAUAGAAAUUACACAAGCAUGAAAUGCUUCAAAUGAAAUGAACUGAAAAUUAAAUAACUGAGAUUGGACAAACAUGAAAGCAUUUAAUACUAAUUGAGCCGAAAAUUAAAGGGUGAUGAUUUCAGAAAAAUUCGUAAUUGCUGGAAAAAAAAUCCAUAAAACUCACCUUCAAGCACAACUCCAAAAACAAUGUUCUUGUUAUCCAACUGUGGGCAAGGAGCAGGCCCUGUAGUGAUCAAGAAUUCCACAUUUCUGUAAUUUGGGUCCAGCUUAAUAUCAUCCUCGUCGUCAUUCUCAGAUAAACACAACGAAACAAUUCCAGGCCUUGAAUGCGUCAGCUUGAACGCUUUAGAAUCAACGGUCUCUGUGUUUCUCACCAGCUCCAGUGGAGGUCUCACCUCUCCUUUAUCCCUCCUUCCCUGGCGCCCCGCCAGGAAAAACUGGCCUGGAAAGAUUUUGUGCACCAGAGUGUUCUUGUAGGAGGAGGUGGCGCACAUGGUCUUGAAGUUGGACACUGUGAGAGGGACCAGGUGGCCAUAGAGGCCGAGGACGACGCGGCCCAGAGGGACGGUUUCUGUGCAGAGAGUGGAAAGGGUGUCAGAGAGAGUGCGGUCGGGGCGGAAAUAGGUGGGACAUAGAGAGAAGUCCAUGAAGACACGGUCGGUUAUGGUGGUGUCAAGGGGUGUUGGAAGGGGAGGGAGAGAGGAGAGUGAAGCGGAGAGGAGGAGGGAGCGGCGAGUGAUGGUGGGAGUGGUGGAGAUGAGCGGAGUAUGAUGGUGGUGGUGGUGGGAAAGGAGUGGUGGCGGAGGUGGAGGGGUUACAGGUGAGGCCAUGGAAGCGAGUGGACAUGGUUAGCUGGGAAGGGAGGAAGCGGAUCAACAUUUGAG